AAAUGAAUAUUUUUUCUUUUCUACCGUGACCCUAAUAAGAGUCUGCAUGUUUGAACUGCUAAUACCAUAGAGAUAAAAUGGGUGUUAUCCAGGCCAGGUUGAACGCUCUCAUUCACACUCUGCAGAAAUGAGCAUCUGUUAUCAACAUACAAGGUCUAAAAAUAGCCGUGAUUCUGGAGAAGAAAUUCAGACAUUUAUAACCCACCAACCCACACAAGAGGGCGAGUCGUCUUUUGCUGCAAAUCGUGUCAUGUAAUGUGAUUACUAGCAGAACCGUGUAUGUUAAUGUGCUUGUGUGCAGACGAUCCACAAGUUAACCCCCCCCCCCCCUCUCCUCCCCAUCCCACGCUGUGCCACCAAAGGAGUUGUGGACACCCUGAAGAACAUGGCAUCUUGAGGCACAAGCGAAUACUCUCUAGUGCCCCCGUUAAGCGGUGACGCAGUCAGAGAUUUUUCGCUGUGGUGGUCAAGGUCCAGCUCUUGCAGUGGCUGAAUGUAUCCUGGCAGUGGCGCUGUUGUUCAGUGUUGGCGUGGCGGUGCACAGAAAGGAAUCAUCCUGAGAUUAUGGCCGAAAAUACCAAAAGGUACCUCUUUGUUCAAGACAAGUUCAAAGCUUUAGGAGAACUUAAGUAAAAGCAAAUUAAACAGACAGGAAUUACUUUUUU
Molecule: non-coding RNA, 665 nt
Organism: Doryrhamphus excisus (bluestripe pipefish)
Lineage: Eukaryota; Metazoa; Chordata; Actinopteri; Syngnathiformes; Syngnathidae
Source: RefSeq, a predicted model, not a curated record